UGAGGAAUAUUGCACAAUGGGCGAAAGCCUGAUGCAGCAACGCCGCGUGCGGGACGAAGGCCUUCGGGUUGUAAACCGCUUUUCUGAGGGACGAGCAAGGACGGUACCUCAGGAAUAAGUCUCGGCUAACUACGUGCCAGCAGCCGCGGUAAAACGUAGGAGGCGAGCGUUAUCCGGAUUUACUGGGCGUAACGCGCACGCAGGUGGCCGUGUAAGUCGGACAUGAAAGCUCCUGGCUUAACUGGGAGAGGUGGUUCGAAACUGCAGGGCUUGAGGUUGGGAGAGGGACGUGGAAUUCCCGGUGUAGUGGUGGAAUGCGUAGAUAUCGGGAGGAACACCAGUGGCGCAAGCGGCGUCCUGGCCCACACCUGACGCUGAGGUGCGAAAGCGUGGGGAGCAAACA
RNAcentral lists this ribosomal RNA (403 nucleotides) under uncultured prokaryote. RNAcentral's name for it is "bacterial SSU rRNA". It matches the Rfam family "Bacterial small subunit ribosomal RNA", at positions 355 to 774 of the family's 1533-position model. The record is from RNAcentral.